Molecule: ribosomal RNA, 468 nt
Filed under: uncultured bacterium
Lineage: Bacteria
Description: partial 16S ribosomal RNA
Rfam family: Bacterial small subunit ribosomal RNA
Source: RNAcentral
GACGAACGCUGGCGGCGUGCUUAACACAUGCAAGUCGAACGGAAAGGCCCUGCUUUUGUGGGGUGCUCGAGUGGCGAAAGGGUGAGUAACACGUGAGUAACCUGCCCUUGACUUUGGGAUAACUUCAGGAAACUGGGGCUAAUACCGGAUAGGAGCUCCUGCUGAAUGGUGGGGGUUGGAAAGUUUCGGCGGUUGGGGAUGGACUCGCGGCUUAUCAGCUUGUUGGUGGGGUAGUGGCUUACCAAGGCUUUGACGGGUAGCCGGCCUGAGAGGGUGACCGGCCACAUUGGGACUGGGAAACGGCCCAGACUCCUACGGGAGGCAGCAGUGGGGAAUAUUGCACAAUGGGCGGAAGCCUGAUGCAGCAACGCCGCGUGCGGGAUGACGGCCUUCGGGUUGUAAUCCGCUUUCGCCUGUGACGAAGCGUGAGUGACGGUAAUGGGUAAAGAAGCACCGGCUAACUACGUG